CUAACAAGAGCACUUAAUAAAGUAAUGUAUACUAUGUAAUUUCCCAUUCUAAUUUAUACAAUUACUGUGGCCUUAAACUUGGAAUGAUUCAUCGCAGGGAUUGGGAUCGGGAAAGUGUAUCCAGCGAGCAGAAUCUUCCAGGCGGCAGACAAACAGCAGCUGCAUAUACACACAGCAUAUAAAUAUAGAAGUUCCAAGGUGCUUCCUGAACGAGCAGUUUCGAAAAGUUGCUAAACAAGGGGAAGCGAGUACGUUAAAAGGCGAUAACGAAGUCAACUUGAACUUGCAGUGGGAACGAGCGCUCUUUCCGCAUAAAAGCAGCAUUUGCGAAAGCCACGAAUGCAAAGUGCCUGUAAAAAACAGGCAAUAGCUAACGAAUUGCAACUGCCAUGGCAAUUGCAAUCGCAUCGACUGGCUGACACCUCAAGGCAAAGAACGCGAGUUUUGUAGCAUGCGAGUGGCGGCAGGCAAAAGGGUUUCGCACUCGCAGAAAACAGGUUUCGCUCGCGAUAAGUGACUUUGCAUUUGGGUCAAGGUUUCCCAUAGGCUAGACAUGAUGCUACACCGUGCUGGCCCGCCUGUCGUUCAUGUGAUUCCAUGCCGCUCUGAUGCAGUACCUUUCCCACGAACACAACGAUCCGUCAAAGAACACGGACAACAUAACUUGUUUUUCGACAUGGCCUUCUGCGUAAAACAUUAUUUGCCCUUACUAGAAAACUUUACUACAAAUUUGACCAAUAAGCAAAAGUAGCUGCCUGUUUUUAUCAGAACACCUACUGUAUGGGCAUUAAACUAUUGCUAUAUCGAAACA
Long non-coding RNA from Drosophila sechellia, 811 nucleotides. RefSeq lists it as uncharacterized. Lineage: Eukaryota; Metazoa; Arthropoda; Insecta; Diptera; Drosophilidae. The transcript is spliced from 2 exons. The record is from RefSeq and is a predicted model, not a curated record.